This 87-nucleotide transfer RNA is filed under the name Methylicorpusculum oleiharenae. RNAcentral's name for it is "tRNA-Leu". It matches the Rfam family "tRNA". Rfam says of the family: Transfer RNA (tRNA) molecules are approximately 80 nucleotides in length. Their secondary structure includes four short double-helical elements and three loops (D, anti-codon, and T loops). The record is from RNAcentral. Lineage: Bacteria; Pseudomonadati; Pseudomonadota; Gammaproteobacteria; Methylococcales; Methylococcaceae. RNAcentral also lists the same sequence under 2 other names.
GCCUGGGUGGCGGAAUAGGUAGACGCAAGGGACUUAAAAUCCCUCGCUCGUAAGGGCGUGCCGGUUCGAUUCCGGCUCCAGGCACCA